UCCCUGGUAGUCCAGUGGCAAAAACUCUGCACUCUCAAUGCAGGUGGCCCAGGUUGGAUCCUGGUCAGAUAA
RNAcentral lists this transfer RNA (72 nucleotides) under Ovis aries (sheep). It matches the Rfam family "tRNA". Rfam says of the family: Transfer RNA (tRNA) molecules are approximately 80 nucleotides in length. Their secondary structure includes four short double-helical elements and three loops (D, anti-codon, and T loops). The record is from Rfam by way of RNAcentral. Lineage: Eukaryota; Metazoa; Chordata; Mammalia; Artiodactyla; Bovidae.